GCGGCGUGCUUAACACAUGCAAGUCGAACGAAGCAUUUAGGAUUGAAGUUUUUCGGAUGGAUUUUCUAUAUGACUGAGUGGCGGACGGGUGAGUAACGCGUGGGGAGCCUGCCCUAUACAGGGGGAUAACAGCUGGAAACGGCUGCUAAUACCGCAUAAGCGCACAGAAUCGCAUGAUUCAGUGUGAAAAGCCCUGGCAGUAUAGGAUGGUCCCGCGUCUGAUUAGCUGGUUGGUGAGGUAACGGCUCACCAAGGCGACGAUCAGUAGCCGGCUUGAGAGAGUGAACGGCCACAUUGGGACUGAGACACGGCCCAAACUCCUACGGGAGGCAGCAGUGGGGAAUAUUGCACAAUGGGGGAAACCCUGAUGCAGCGACGCCGCGUGAGUGAAGAAGUAUUUCGGUAUGUAAAGCUCUAUCAGCAGGGAAGAAAACAGACGGUACCUGACUAAGAAGCCCCGGCUAACUACGUGCCAGCAGCCGCGGUAAUACUUAGGGGGCAAGCGUUAUCCGGAAUUACUGGGUGUAAAGGGUGCGUAGGUGGCAUGGUAAGUCAGAAGUGAAAGCCCGGGGCUUAACCCCGGGACUGCUUUUGAAACUGUCAUGCUGGAGUGCAGGAGAGGUAAGCGGAAUUCCUAGUGUAGCGGUGAAAUGCGUAGAUAUUAGGAGGAACACCAGUGGCGAAGGCGGC
RNAcentral lists this ribosomal RNA (690 nucleotides) under uncultured Lachnospiraceae bacterium. Its description in RNAcentral is "bacterial SSU rRNA". It matches the Rfam family "Bacterial small subunit ribosomal RNA", at positions 39 to 725 of the family's 1533-position model. Lineage: Bacteria; Bacillati; Bacillota; Clostridia; Lachnospirales; Lachnospiraceae. The record is from RNAcentral.